This is an RNA transcript of Strigops habroptila (Kakapo), 7072 nucleotides long. It is a transcript of the gene named large tumor suppressor kinase 1, with no coding region annotated. NCBI's taxonomy places the organism in Eukaryota, Metazoa, Chordata, Aves, Psittaciformes, Psittacidae. The record is from RefSeq and is a predicted model, not a curated record. The transcript is spliced from 9 exons.
GGGUCGGGGCUGCGGGAGGGGGGGCGCCCGCCGCGCAAGGCAGGCCGGGAGCUGCCCAUAUCCGGGAAGCCCUCCGCCGCGGAGACACCGACAAAAUGGCGGCGCCGAACUGAGAGGCCCGUGGCGGCGGCGGCGGGCGCUGGCGGAGGGACUGAGGAGCCGCUGCCGGCAUCGCGGAGGGCCGCGGCGGUCGUCGCCGCGCGGGCGGGGCCGAGCUCUGUGCGCCCACGCCCGGGCCCGGGGCGCUGCCGCCGCCACCUUCUCGCCGCAGGAUAGCAGUUUUGGGUUGUGACGAACUUCAGCACUACAGGAACCAUGGUUUCACAGUGAAGAGCCACUGCUUUCCCCAGUUCUGAAGCUACCAGCCAGCCUUCCUUGAAUUUUGGUGUGUGCGAGUCCUUGGUGGAGGCUGCAUAUAUACAUGUUUUCAUGAAGAGAAGUGAGAAGCCAGAAGGUUAUAGACAAAUGAGGCCUAAGACUUUUCCUGCCAGUAACUAUACUGGCAGCAGCCAGCAGAUGCUACAGGAAAUACGAGAGAGCCUCAGGAAUUUACCUAAACCCUCAGAUGCUGCUAAAGCUGAUCACAGCAUGGGCAAAAUGUUAUCUGAAGAUCCGAGACAAGGCAGAAAUCCCCCCAAAUUUGUAACAUACCAUAAAGUUUUACAGGAGAUCAGAAACUCGCUUCUGCCUUUUGCAAAUGAAACAACCUCAGCUGUCAAAGGAACGUCAGAGGUUAAUCGACAAAUGCUGCAAGACUUACAAGCUGCUGGCUUUGAUGAGGAUAUGGUUAUACAAGCUCUUAGACAAACUAACAACCGUAGUAUAGAAGCUGCCAUCGAAUUUAUAAGUAAAAUGAGCUACCAGGAUCCUCGUCGGGAGCAGAUGGUUGCAGCAGCAGCAAGGCCUGUGAAUGCAGGGAUGAAACCACCAGGAGGGACUGUACAGCAGUCAGUUAACCGCAAGCAGAGCUGGAAGGGUUCUAAGGAGUCCUUGGUUCCUCAGCGGCAUGGGCCUUCCCUGGGAGAUGGUGUAGUUUAUCGCUCGGAAAGCCCCAGCUCUCAGCCUGAUGUGGGAAGGCCGUUAUCUGGAUCUGGCAUUGCAGCAUUUGCUCAGGCUCAUCCUGGCAAUGGACAAAGAGUGAACCCCCCGCCCCUACCACAGAUAAGGAGCGUCACUCCUCCUCCUCCACCUCCUCGAGGACAGACACCCCCUCCAAGGGGAACGACUCCUCCACCUCCUUCCUGGGAACCAAACUCUCAAACAAAGCGUUAUUCUGGAAACAUGGAGUAUGUGAUCUCCCGUAUUUCUCCGGUGCCACCAGGAGCGUGGCAGGAUGGUUACCCACCUCCACCUAUGAAUCCUCCACCCAUAAAUUCUUCCACGCAGGGUCAGAGAGGCAUGAGCACUGUCCCCAUUGGCAGGCAACCAAUAAUCAUGCAGAGUUCUGCCAACAGCAAAUUUAGUUUUCCCUCAGGAAGAGCUGGAAUGCAAAAUGGCAAUUGUCAGGCCGAGUUCAUAGUUCACCCAAAUGUGGUGUCUGGGAACUCGGUGAGUCGCCAGCCACCCCCAUACUCCAUGAAUCCAACCAACAGGCAAAGUCCCACAGCACUACAGAUGCAGGCAGGGGGAUCUGCUCCUCCUCCGGCAUACACCAACGGGAAUCUUCCUCAGGCAAUGAUGGUGCCAAAUAGGAACAGUCACAACAUGGAACUUUACAAUACAACUGUAGCUGGAAUACCUGCGUCUUGGUCACAGCCUUCCCCUGUGCAGCCACAGUCAUCGCCUGGCAAUGGGCAUGACAUGCCUGCGUGGCAGCCCAAUGUUCCCGUACGGUCAAAUUCUUUCAACAACCAUCAUGGCAAUAGGCAGAGUCACUCCGGCAGCUCUCAGCCUUCAGCUACCACAGUAACAGCUAUAACACCAGCUCCCAUUCAGCCACCAGUAAAAAGUAUGCGUGUGUUAAAACCUGAGCUCCAGACUGCCCUAGCGCCCAGUCACCCUUCCUGGAUGCCACAGCCAGUGCAAACCGUUCAGACCAUUCCCUUCUCUGAGAGCCCAUCUACAAACAUGGCGGUUAUGGCUCCUGUUGGGGAAGCUCCAAAUUACCAGGGUCCUCCCCCACCUUACCCAAAACACUUGUUACACCAGAAUCCCUCUGUCAAUCUGUAUGAGGCAGGACCCAAGCUCAACAAGGAGGAGCCACCUAUUUUAUCCAGGGAGGAUGAGAAUGAAAAGAAUUACGAAUGUGUUGACUCAACAGAUAAAGAAAAGAAACAAAUUACAACAUCACCUGUUCCUGUUAGAAAAAACAAGAAAGAUGAAGAAAGAAGAGAGUCCCGCAUUCAAAGCUAUUCCCCUCAGGCCUUUAAGUUCUUCAUGGAGCAGCACGUGGAGAAUAUACUGAAGUCGCAUCAACAGCGUUUGCAUCGGAAAAAACAACUAGAGAAUGAGAUGAUGCGGCUGAUUUAAACUGUUAAGGUGUGGGAAGCUUUCCUGAACUCUGUAGCCUCCAUCCCUGUGUAGACAAGUUGGAUUGUCACCAGAAGCCCGAGAUCAAAUGAGGAAAAUGUUGUGCCAGAAAGAGUCGAAUUAUAUUCGGCUAAGAAGAGCUAAAAUGGACAAGUCGAUGUUUGUAAAAAUUAAAACCCUGGGAGUUGGUGCAUUUGGAGAAGUUUGCUUAGCAAGAAAAGUGGAUACUAAUGCAUUGUAUGCAACCAAAACACUGAGGAAAAAAGACGUCUUGCUUAGAAAUCAAGUCGCUCAUGUGAAAGCUGAGCGGGAUAUCCUUGCAGAAGCUGAUAAUGAAUGGGUGGUUCGCCUGUACUAUUCAUUCCAAGAUAAGGACAAUUUGUACUUUGUAAUGGACUACAUUCCAGGAGGAGAUAUGAUGAGUCUUCUAAUUAGAAUGGGUGUAUUUCCAGAAAAUCUGGCACGGUUCUACACAGCAGAACUGACCUGUGCAGUUGAAAGUGUUCAUAAAAUGGGCUUCAUCCACAGAGAUAUUAAACCUGAUAAUAUCUUGAUAGACCGCGAUGGUCAUAUUAAAUUGACUGACUUCGGGCUCUGUACAGGUUUUCGAUGGACCCACGAUUCAAAAUACUACCAAAGUGGUGAUCAUGCACGUCAAGACAGUAUGGAUUUCAGCAGUGAAUGGGGUGACCCAGCAAACUGCAGGUGUGGAGAUCGGCUGAAGCCACUUGAACGCAGGGCUGCACGUCAGCAUCAGCGCUGUCUGGCCCAUUCCCUUGUUGGCACACCCAAUUAUAUUGCACCAGAAGUGUUAUUGCGAACAGGGUACACACAGUUGUGCGACUGGUGGAGUGUUGGAGUAAUUCUCUUUGAAAUGCUGGUGGGGCAGCCUCCGUUCCUGGCACAAACACCACUGGAAACACAAAUGAAGGUUAUCAACUGGCAAACUGCGCUUCAUAUUCCACCUCAAGCUAAAUUGACUCCAGAGGCCUCCGACCUUAUCAUUAAACUCUGCCGAGGGCCAGAAGAUCGCUUAGGCAAAAAUGGUGCAGAUGAAAUAAAAGCUCAUCCAUUUUUUAAAACAAUUGAUUUUUCAAGCGAUCUACGGCGGCAGUCUGCUUUCUACAUUCCCAAAAUUGCCCAUCCUACAGACACAUCCAACUUUGAUCCAGUUGAUCCAGAUAAAUUGUGGAGUGAUGAUGAUAAGGAAGGGAACAGAAACGAUACACUUAAUGGAUGGUACAAAAAUGGAAAGCAUCCUGAGCAUGCUUUCUAUGAGUUCACCUUCCGAAGGUUUUUUGAUGACAAUGGCUACCCAUACAACAAUCCAAAGCCCAUUGAGUACGAGUAUGGUAGUUCCCAAAACUCGGAACAGCAGUCAGAUGAUGAUGAUGACGACGAACAGGCAGGUAGAGGAGUUCAGAAUCGUGACCUGGUUUAUGUUUAGUAGAGGAAUAAAGAUUAAAAACUAAAUAAACUUAUUUUGCAGCUGAAGCUUUUGAAAAGGCUCUUCUCUUAAGAGAAUUAAGAAAAGAUUGCUACAGUAAAUACAUGCACGCUUUUUAUUUUUAAAACACUAAGGAAAUUGUCUUCUCCUUCCCUCUCUGUACAUUUUGUUUCCCCAGAAUACAGGGAAAUCCUUCUCAAAUAUUAAUUUAUUCCAGCAUUAUUAAUUCUUUAAUUUAGAAGAGAGAGAUUUGAUGUUAGGUGGAGAAAAAAAAAUAAAUCACUUGAAUUUUAUUAUUGGUUCUCUGUACUCUAAGUACUCAAAAUAGGAAAUAGGGAUCAAGAUUUUUUUUCCCUGAAGAUGAUGCCUGUUAUCUAUUUGUACAUAUACUGAAUAAUUUUAGAAAACAAAUCUCUGCUUCAGAAUUUUUAAUGACAGUUUUUCCUUGCAUUGACCAAAUAUAAAACCUGCUUUAUGCUUAAUAGAGCUCUCUCAUACAUUUCCGAAGAGAAAAAAGAAAAAGGCUGCUGUACCUCACUUCUCACUGUAUUUAGCCUGAUAAUUCGCAGUGUUGGAAAAACUGAGCCAUCUCUCUGGUGAAAUGUUUCCAGCUGCUGUGGUAGUGGUAUAGUUCUCAGCUUUGGAACAAGAAAGUAUCAGUCUUUGCUAUAGUGUGAUUGUAAAGUGAUAAAGAAUUAGAAGUAGUAUUUUAUUAAAUAGUAAUUGAAUUUUACAUUAGUAAUGCUGUAGCAUGUGCCUGGUACUCCUAAAGCAGAAGGACUGCUCACUCGGGAGCAACUUGAUUGUAUCCUGUCAUCAGUUCUCCUAUCAUUAUGAGAGGAAAAGAAACUUUAGCAAAAACAGUUUUUGAAAUGUAGUUUGGUUUCCUGACUACAACCAAACUGUAAAGUGUGUACAGUUCUGCUUUAGUUGACAUUUCUAGUUUGAAAAAGAAAUUCUAGAAUAAUUUCUUUAUUACAUGUUUGAGAUAGUAAUGGAGAAAAGAUGAUAAAUUAUGGCUUUUGAGACUGUUGUUGUGGAGAGCAGUUUCACUGGCUUCAAUAGUUUUCCUCCUAGUUACGCAGACAGUGAGGAGAAAUGUCAUGCACCAGUCCAUCUGAGCCAUCACUACGAUUUCAGUGGUCCAUCUUUCACAGUCCAGUUCAUAACAGAAUUAGGAACUGCACCGCUGUGUCUGCUGCCUUCUGCAUUACUGUUUUCAUAAUUUCCCUCAGCAGGUGAGCAGACAUCCCCUUGGGUCUCAUGGUGGGAGGGUACUGAGCCUGCUGAGGUUGCUGGGACCAGGGAGGGGGACAACCCUCUAAGCAGCUUCCCUGGGACAAGACCACGAGCUACAAGUGAGAGGCAGGAAGAAUUACGGGGUUUACCUCUCCUUCUCUCUCCCCUCCUUUCUCCUGAAGCUAACACAGUGGUAAAGAAAAUGCACUAUUUUUAGUAAACUUCAUGUCUUUUAUAACAUUGCCUCCUCCUUGGAAUUGAGUUCCAAUGGAUAGUCUAAUAAUGUGCCUGUAAGCAUUACUGCUUUCUUGAAUUAUUUGUGCCAUUGCACUGGCAUUGUGACUGUCUAAACAUCAUGAAAUUGGUGUUCAUAGCUGUUCUUGCAGCAAACGCCAGUUACCAGUUUACUUUUCUCACCAAGCUGGUUUAAGAAAUUCUGGUGCGCUUCAGGCCAUUUCUUCCCUUUCUGUGCGUGUCUCUGUGCCAGUGCAACUGUCUGUAGUUCUGUGCAAAAUACUGGAUCAGUGAAAAAACCGCUUGGUGUUUAGUGUUCGGAGGUGUCUUGUAAGUGUAUUCAUCUGAGUGAGCCAGUUUCCAGUGUGGUCCAAAAAGUUAUAACUGAGGAAGGAGUAAACUGCAGAAAAGGCAGUUUGGCAGCGGGGAAAUGUCUUAAACGGACUCGGUCACAGGAGAAAACAUUUGUGGAAGUUCAUCCCUCUGCUGUGAAGUCCUUAUCAUGGUUAGAAGAUGGUUUUCUUUUCUCAAGCAGGUAGUUAGUUACUUUCUGUAAUGAAAAUGGGUUUGUAUCUUAAUAAAAUUCAUGUUCUGUCUGCCUGUUCCACAGUUGUUGAAAUAGAAUAGCUUUUAAGAUUCAUUUCAUUUAGCCUAAAUAGUAUAAAAUGGCUGCAGUGUGUAACUACUCCAUUUUAUAUAUUAUGUAAAAAAAGAUUGUUUCCCAUGUAAAUAAACUUUAAAGAUUAUCCUCCUUCAUACUAAGUAUCCCAGUAAAACUGGUCUAUUUGUCUUGGAGUAAAGUAUAAUAUAUUACUGGUUAAAGUAAUUUAAUCAAGCCUGCUUUACCAUUUGUGAAGUGUGCAGAGAAAAUAAUGUCAAUUCUUCAUUAAAUUGACUGUUAAAAUUGCCGUUUUAUCUGAGCAUAUUUCUCCUCUGCCUGCAUUGUAUUAUGGUAUAUCCUGUUUUACACUAUAACUGGUCUUUAGCCAAUGUGUUGAAAACAAAAAAAGGGUCCUGUAAAGGCAUCACUGCAGUUCCAUAAAAGCAAAACUGUUUGCUUUUUUUAAGGACACGUGCAAGUACUGAAAUAUUAAAUAUUCUGCAAUUUUUAAAGAAAUACAGGGAGACCUCUCACCUGUAGAAUUUGGUAGGUGCUUCUGGCAUUUUCUGUUACCUUGUGUUAGAAGUCGUAGUAUACCUUGUUUGAAUUUUGCCACCUAUAUGCUGCAAUAUUGUAUAUUUUCUUGCAGAAAUGUAGUGUGUGACAGUCCAAGUUCUCUGAGAAAGUUAGUUCUACAUAAAUGUUGUCACAACUGUCCAACAUGCUCUGCCUGACCCAUGUUUUGAAACUUCUCGUUUCAUACGUAGAUUCAGAGUCUGUUGAGAUUCUUCAUAGCUGCUGCUUAAAACAUGGGUGUUUCACUGGUGACCUAUGAUGGGGAUUGGUUUGUACAGGCAGGUGAGCAAAGAGGCUCUUAACCAGCAGCUGUGGAAUUCUGCAGUAAGUUUUAGUUCAGGUUACUUUCACUUUGUAUAGCAUGAAAGCAAAUUUCUUUUAUGUGCCCUUGUAUACAUAUUAAUUGUAUUUAUAAAGUAUUCUAUAAUCCUGUAACUGUACUGUAAAUACUACUUGAUACUCAGUGGCAUUCUAUCGUAGGGCAGGCCCUCUUGCUGUGUCUUUUC